Hevea brasiliensis (rubber tree) is the source of this 487-nucleotide long non-coding RNA. RefSeq lists it as uncharacterized. The transcript has 4 exons. NCBI's taxonomy places the organism in Eukaryota, Viridiplantae, Streptophyta, Magnoliopsida, Malpighiales, Euphorbiaceae. The record is from RefSeq and is a predicted model, not a curated record.
GGGUCAUGAAGCUUAUAAAAUUGGAGGAAACAAAUCAGGAUUGAAAUUCAACUUCUAGGAGAUUUCGUGUAAGAUACCCAUUGCCAAGGAAAAACGCAGUCAAUGGAGACUUGGCAGAGGAACGCCAAAACAAGAACUGAAGGACACAAGAGUACCCUGGAAUGUCGAUGUCGUUUACUUUGAAGCAACCGUCGUAGCGAAGACAAUGGCCAUUGCCACCGCAGUGAUCCCUUUGAAGCUCAUCACCAGUCGCAGGCUUCAACCUAAAAAUCAUACUCCAUUUCUUGCUCAAAAUCGGCCCUUCAAGGUCUCAUGCUGCGUUCUUCACAAUCCAAGCUCUCUCCAUACUCAUUGUCAGAAACUCGUCGAUAAAUUUGACCCUCGUAUUCCGAUAGAGAAAGCCCUGACUCCACCCAGAUCCUGGAUACACUGAACAGAUAAAGGAUCCUCGUGACUUUUUCACAGUAAGGUUCUUAGAAGAAGAAAG